Molecule: ribosomal RNA, 423 nt
Filed under: Bacillus cereus
Lineage: Bacteria; Bacillati; Bacillota; Bacilli; Caryophanales; Bacillaceae
Description: bacterial SSU rRNA
Rfam family: Bacterial small subunit ribosomal RNA
Source: RNAcentral
UCGGCGGACGGGUGAGUAACACGUGGGUAACCUGCCCAUAAGACUGGGAUAACUCCGGGAAACCGGGGCUAAUACCGGAUAACAUUUUGAACCGCAUGGUUCGAAAUUGAAAGGCGGCUUCGGCUGUCACUUAUGGAUGGACCCGCGUCGCAUUAGCUAGUUGGUGAGGUAACGGCUCACCAAGGCAACGAUGCGUAGCCGACCUGAGAGGGUGAUCGGCCACACUGGGACUGAGACACGGCCCAGACUCCUACGGGAGGCAGCAGUAGGGAAUCUUCCGCAAUGGACGAAAGUCUGACGGAGCAACGCCGCGUGAGUGAUGAAGGCUUUCGGGUCGUAAAACUCUGUUGUUAGGGAAGAACAAGUGCUAGUUGAAUAAGCUGGCACCUUGACGGUACCUAACCAGAAAGCCACGGCUAACUA